UGGUGAAGAGUCCCACUAGAUGGAGACUCUGCUGAAGAGUCCCACUAGAUGAAAAACAGGGACUCUGGUGAAGAGUCCCAUUGGAUUAGGACUCUAUCAUUAAUGAAAGAUUAAUUAAUAAUUAGAUCAUUAAUUAACUUAAUUUGAUUGAGAAUUAAAGUCUGGAUCAAGUCUGAUUGAAUUGGAUUCAAUCAGGUCAGGUCUCAUUAGGUUAUGAG
Molecule: long non-coding RNA, 218 nt
Filed under: Elaeis guineensis (African oil palm)
Lineage: Eukaryota; Viridiplantae; Streptophyta; Magnoliopsida; Arecales; Arecaceae
Description: long non-coding RNA (EGUI_LNC046225)
Source: RNAcentral